ACGUUUCAGAACCCUGCACCAAAUGCAACUGUGUACCCUUUGAAGGUGAGAGAGGGAGAGAAAGCUGUGAUGGAGGAACCGAUCACUUUUGCUGAAAUGUACAGGCGGAAAAUGAGCAAGGAUCUUGAGAUGGCAAGGAUAAAGAAGCUGGCUAAGGAAACGCAAGUGCAGGACCUUGACAAGGCAAAGCUAGAAUCCAAGACUCUGAAGGAAAUUCUUGCUUAAUUAAUUAGUCUUCAAAGUUACUUUAAAAUAAUUA
Molecule: long non-coding RNA, 259 nt
Filed under: Vigna radiata
Lineage: Eukaryota; Viridiplantae; Streptophyta; Magnoliopsida; Fabales; Fabaceae
Description: long non-coding RNA (VRAD_LNC005845)
Source: RNAcentral